CGGAGGUAGCUCUUGCUGCUUUUACCCCCGCUUUUGCUUUGUGUGAUGGGGAGGGACCCCACAUAUGGGGGUGAUUAGUGGCUUUGGGGAUGGUCUGGAGCCCCUAUUUUAUAGAGGAGUCCAAGAGUGUAGGGUCAGGCCGAGGGGCAGAGACAGAUGAGGCGUUGACCAUAGCCGGAGUCCCAGCACUGCCGGCGGCAGAGGUUCCCGGGAGAUCGAGCCACCCGCCCCGCAGGGACGAAUUUAUGGCCGGUCUUGGAGAGAGGAGAGCGAGGCCGGGGCUCCGCUAGGCCCAAGGAAAGUUCCCUUUCUAGGGUCUUUUUAAAAAAAAGAGAGAGGGAGAGCAAGAGAGAAAAGGGAUGGGUUGAGUUUCGUUGAAUUUUCCUUCGUGGGCUCGAGCGGAGUGGAUUUCUAUAAGGGAAGAGAAGACACGUCCCGGAACCUUCCAUGUCCGCCUCAUUCUCUCCAGGCCUCUCCAGUUGUCCGAGCUCUCAGCCACCAGGAGACUGACACGGAAGGGGCUUCUGGGCUGCCCCCCACCAACUCCUGCUUGGCUUCCCAAAGUCCAGUCAUCUCCAACCUUCCUUGGGGGAAAAUAUCAGUGCCCAGACACCUCUGUACCCUGUCGUAUGUGAGGACGCUCACUUCAGGAUUAUCUUACAAAGAAGAAGAAGAAGAAAGGCUGGCUUAGAGUCGUGUUUACAUCUAGUUCUACUGAUCCGUUCACAUCUGGAGAGUUUAUUUAUAACUCCCACUAUAACUCUCUCUCUUUGGAAGCACUGGUGGCUCUAUUGACAGACUGAUGUCUAGAAAAUAUUGCUCUAUCUCUAAGCAUACCUAAAUGUGCUGUGGUUGUAUUUACAGAUUUAUGUUUGAGGGAAAUAUAAUUAUUUCCAUUGUAUUUGUGCAUAUACAAUAGUUACAGGAGCAGAUUUAUAUACGGGAAAAUAUACGACUCUCUUAUAGCCAUCCAGCUUUAUGGACAUUUGAUAUCCUGACAGAUUUAUAUCUCUGAGCAGCUAUAUAGAUAAAUGUAUAUUGUUGGAAUUA
This is a long non-coding RNA of Rhinolophus ferrumequinum (greater horseshoe bat), 1050 nucleotides long. RefSeq lists it as uncharacterized. The transcript is spliced from 2 exons. NCBI's taxonomy places the organism in Eukaryota, Metazoa, Chordata, Mammalia, Chiroptera, Rhinolophidae. The record is from RefSeq and is a predicted model, not a curated record.